Molecule: long non-coding RNA, 459 nt
Organism: Rhododendron vialii
Lineage: Eukaryota; Viridiplantae; Streptophyta; Magnoliopsida; Ericales; Ericaceae
Exons: 4
Source: RefSeq, a predicted model, not a curated record
UCUUGGUCACCAGCCACUUGCUCCGCCAUUGUUUUGGUCACCGAUUGGCUCGAAAUCAAACAGUGUUGAUUGAAUUGCUUGCAGAGGUCUCGUCUCGAUUGUCAAGAUCAAUCAUCUAGGUGAAGAAAUAUUACAGGUGCUCACUGUUAUUGAAGAGCUCCAUUCGAUCCAAAUACACUUCUUGGGAUGGAUUCCUCUAAUAACCAAGCUAAUAAUGAAAAGGAUGCACCAGCUUCACCAAGGGAUUCACAGGGUAAAAAAAGGAAGGGUAGAGGUUCCACAACUCUACCCGAGAUUAUAAAAAAUAAGAGUGUCGGUAUACGAAUAGUCGUUCAAUAUGAUGAGGAGGGUCGACUAGUAGGGAAAGAUCAACCAAAGUUUAUGAGUUAUCUUGGAGUUCUGGCUCGAACAAUAGUCCCGGUAAUUCAUAAAGAUUGGCAUCAUGUACCAGAUGAUUUG